Molecule: long non-coding RNA, 4389 nt
Filed under: Nicotiana tabacum (common tobacco)
Lineage: Eukaryota; Viridiplantae; Streptophyta; Magnoliopsida; Solanales; Solanaceae
Description: long non-coding RNA (NTAB_LNC000522)
Source: RNAcentral
AAUUUUAGGUAAAAGUCACUCCAGUUAAAAGUGGACAAGAACAAUACAAUAGUGGAGUAGUAAUCUUGUUCGAUGAGGUUAUCUUCUAACAUAUCUAUACUACUAGUUGCCUGCAGCCUGUGCGGAGCACGGGCCCAACACUACAACAAAUUUCAAAAUAUUUUUUCAAUACGUAAUCAAUGCUUAAUUAACACCAAGUAGAUGCUGCUACAUCUUUUGAGUUACAAAAGAUACAAAACGUAGCAAAACAAUAGAUGCAGCAAUAUACAACAAUUUCAUAUUGACGGUUCGGCAAUCCGUUGUUAUUCCUUCAAGAAUGUCCAGGCAGACAGCUACAGUGUUCCAAAUGGCUUAUGUUUCUUUCUCAUCAUCCUUCCUAGUGGUGAAAUCAGAAAUUUCCUCAAGGGUGUUUAAAUUUGAAAUAAGUAAAAAAAAAAAUCCCGAUAAAGAGUGUUCAAUAUAUGUAAUAUACCUCUAAAACAUGAUAUUUUACCUAUAUACGUAAUGUAAUUUCACGACAAAGGGUAGACAGUUGACCACCCUUACCAAUGUGUAGCUUCGCCACUGAAUUCCUUCCCAGCCAGCUGCUGGUAGCACCUCUUGGGUUGGAUAGUUUGAUUUGAGUCUAGCUAAGGUAUUUAGCAAAGAGUACUGGGAAACUGUUAAGGUAACAAAACUUUUCUAAUCAUUGCACUUGAGAAAUUGGUGGAAGUCCAUAUUCGACCAUCUCAAAUCAUUUUCCUUUUGAACUCUCAAAUUACCUGCAACUACAAAUGCUUUAGGAUGAUUAGAGUAAGAAGAUAAACAACUAAAAGUAUGAAGCACUGAAUAGAAGACCCAAAAAGGAGAGUAAAAGUGUGUGUGUGUGUGUCACAAGUAACAUCUAAAGUUUCUUUCAGUCAUUGCCUUGGAAUGAUCUAUUCAACCUUCGCCGAUGAAGCUAUCCUGAUAUGGACCCCCUUGUAACAUAAACAUAUAAUUGAGAAAUUUAAUGUGCUACCAUCUCAUUCUAUUAGCAUGGAAGUAUCAAGCAUCAUAUACCAUCUUUCUCCAAUUAUCCUUCUUACUUUACAGGAAAGGCAACAUUUUCCUUGGAGUUACUUAGCCAGUUAGAUAUUUAUUAUAUGAGCUUCCAGAAGACUCAUAGCAAUCUAGGAAUUCAUAUGUUUAAAAUCAAUUAUCUAUGCCUCUUUUAUUAAAAGGUUCUCAGUUUAAUCAUCUAAUGUAUGGGGAAAUGUUCUUUAGAGAAAGACAGAUUGCUCAGCGUUAUAGUCUAGCGUAAAAAUCCUUCUGUUAGUGUGUAAAAAUAUUAUUGUCGGUUGAUAAGAAAUUGGAGCUUUGUUCUAUGUACCUUUUUGUGGAGCAUUUUAUUGCUAAUUGGUACUUUCCCCAUGACUGUUGCUUACAUCAGACUACCACAUUAAAAAAAUCAUAUACCAGUGUAAUCAUAAACUAUAUAUUGUUUUAAUUGAAAUAACUCACUACUCUAUACAAUCACGACCUAUCUCUUUCUAUAUUUCUACGGAUUAGCGUGUAUGAAAUAUAGUAUUAUGAUACAAUGAAAGAAUGAUAUAGACUAACUUGUGCUGCAACUUCAAUUGCUUUUAACUAUUUGCCUAAUUUAAAGCAAGUACCAUAACCAUGUUAGGAUUACCUGGUUCGAGUGCAAGUGAUGAAAGAAUAAAGCAUGCUAAAACUAAUAUGUACCAGUAAUCAGUAAAAGCAUAAUGACUUAUGCUUACUUGAUAAAGAAAAGGGCAGAAUCAUUUAACAUAAGCAAAGGGAAAUGAGAAAUAUUUUCCUUUCAUUGUUAGCCAAGCUUCAAAUUGUGUCUUACCAAGUUCAAUUAAUCUUAAACAACUGAUAACACACAAAUUUAUGUUCCUUCAAAAGCUAAUUAAGAUUGCAGGUGAGCAGUACUUGAUUAAUAAAAGGACAAUGAAGAAUAGAUAGCUACCAAAGAUGGAAAUUUUAUGAAAAGUCUUCUCUAUAUUACUAAUUAUAAUAAAUGAUUUGUUGUUUGUUGCUUGAUCUUCACCAAGAAAUAGCACUUUGAUGUAAAAAUAGCAAAUAUGAAGCAAAUUCAUCUUAAUUAAAUUUGAACUCACUCAAAAACCACAUCAGAUAGUUGAGAUAAAAAUGGACAGUGCAAAAAAAAGGCAAAGGUAACAUCUAUUGCAUAAGGUGUAACCUCUUCUCUGCAGGUUUGCCCAUACCAGACAAUCAUUAUGCAGUGUUAUCCAUACAAAAUCAAAUGACAUUGAAGGAAACCUUACAUUUCCAUUUAAGUUUCCGUUGUUGAUUGUGGAGAUGGUUCUUGAGGUGAGAAGCCUAUAACAACAGUUGUCGUUUUUAUCUGUCAUGUUCUGUUGGUAGGCGGAAUUUAGUACAGUCUGAAAUAUUUCAUCAACAAAAUAUGAAUCAUUAAUAAGUCAAAGUUUCAGAAGACUGCUAAAAAAGGGCAGCCUAACUAUAAUACAAAUAUAGAUCUAUAGUGCAUAGUGCUAUGUAUUGUCAAUGUAACACACAUGUAAAAUACCGUCAAAGGUUCUUGUUGAUAUACAAAUGUCGAUGAUAAAGUAGUCUUUCUUAAGGGGAAAAAAAACAUAGUCAGAUAGUUCAUAAUUCUGUAUUUCUGUUCACAACCAGAGAAAGAGAUAUACAUAUACAUGAAAAAAGUUAGUAAGUUAGUGAGAAUCCAGCUAGUAAUAGAUGAAUAGCAAGACUAAAGAUCCAAGUGACUUUUCCCCAUUUUAAUUUUUGUUUUAAAAAGGAGGGUCAUGGGCUUGCUUAAAACAUUAUAAAGCAACUCAUAAAAAAUGAUCCCUAGGCAAAAUAUCCACACAUUGUCCUUUCCUGUUGGUACAGGAGCAAGUGAGAAAGUAGAGUAUAUGUAAUGACAUGCACCUUAAUUUCAAUAGAAAAUUCAUAAUCUAACAACAGAAUUUUGCAAGGAUUUCACAUAAACACACCAUGAAAUUUAGUAAUUGUAAUAUAAUAAUAAAAUAAAUUAUUUUAUCCCAUAUAAUUCAAGUACCAAUUAUUGUUUUAAAGAGGAUCAUCCAAACUUAUUGCAAAGAGUAUUUACUUCAAACUUGGCAACUGCUUGUGAAAGGGAGUAUACACCUUUCUAUCAUUAUAAAUGACACCUUAAGUCCUCAAACAUUGGAGAGUGAUUCACAAGUUCAGAGAAAGCAACAACACCCUUAUCUCCUAACAUGUUAUUGUAAAAAUGAAGGACCUGCAAUUCGCAAGUUGAGGGAAUCAGUUGGCACUUCGUACGCUACAUGUGCUAUAACCAAACCGAAAAAUAUACCUAUUUUUAGUUUUGUACGGAUAUUUCACCCUAUUUAUCUUACAGUAGGCCUUUCGUUUUCUUUUAGAAUUUUCUUAAGGACUUAUUUGGCCUAAGUAUCAGUGUAGAUCAUGUAUAAAUAUUGACCAUGUAAAACCCAUAGUAAUUUAAAGAAAACUUUAUAAAAAAUUACAAGGAAAAAUGUGAACAAAGUAAAAAUAAAGGAGGAAGAACAGUAGAAGAAAGAGGAUAAGGAACUAAACAGACAACAUCUAUAAGAUAUUAGAUCUAUGCAAAUCAGUGACAAAUUAGAACCUUGCAUGUACAGAAAGGGAUAGAGAAAUAAAAGAAAAAAAUAUUCAUAAGCACGCAAGAAGAAGAUAUGAACUAGACAUGACGAAAGUAAAACCAAAUUGAACCUAAUUUAAACCAAAAGAAAAUCAGAAGAAGCAUUUUUGUAAGGUUAUUAUCCUGAAACCUUACACUACUAUAAAUAUUGAAAUACAAUUAACCAAAACCAUGAUAAUCAUCGUGAAAAAUCGAAGUAACCCAAAAGGAAUGUUAAUAGUUUUCUUAGGAAGUAAAAAGUUCAUAUGUUACCUCUUUAUAUGAGCCACCCACAUAUCACUAUGAAGCAGAUUCUUUGCAGCCUUCACCUAUUUUUUCUUGCACUCCAGAAAACCCUAUGUGCCUUUCAGUUGUUUGGUCAAAUUGAAUUCAUAAAAUACAAUUUCAAAUCUUACAUUAAAAUCUCAAAUUAUCAUUAAAAUAAAAAAAAUUACUUACACGCACCAGCCAAUAAUAAACAUAGAAAAUGAACCAUGGACUGGAGCUUGCAAUUUUCCAAGAACCAAAAGGAAAAAAACAUCAAAACUAAGAAUAGGGAAAAUCCAGUGAAGAAGAAGAAAGCAUGAAGAAGUAGGAAAGCAGGAAAAAGAGUAAAAAUAGAAGUGCUUAAAGUGACAGCAAAAAGAUGUAGGAAGAAUGGAAGCGAAAGAUAGGUGUCCCCACCAAAACAAUAAAGACCAACUACGUGUCAAGGAAAUUGAAUAGAAUGAAAGGGCUAAAUCCAAGACCAAAAUACAAAAUUGCCC